Molecule: ribosomal RNA, 533 nt
Filed under: uncultured bacterium
Lineage: Bacteria
Description: bacterial SSU rRNA
Rfam family: Bacterial small subunit ribosomal RNA
Source: RNAcentral
AUGGAGCAACGCCGUGUGAGUGAAGAAGGUCUUCGGAUCGUAAAGCUCUGUUGUUGGUGAAGAAGGAUAGAGGCAGUAACUGGUCUUUAUUUGACGGUAAUCAACCAGAAAGUCACGGCUAACUACGUGCCAGCAGCCGCGGUAAUACGUAGGGUGGCAGUCGUUGUCGGAGUUAUUGGGCGUAAAGAGAGCGACGAGGCGGUAAGUGUGGUAAGGCUAGGAUCGACGAAAGGGGCCGUAAGGGCUCAACCGUGGAACUGCAUCGGAAACUGUCAUUCUUGAGUGCAGAAGAGGAGAGUGGAACUCCAUGUGUAGCGGUGAAAUGCGUAGAUAUAUGGAGGAACACCGGUGGCGAAAGCGGCUCUCUGGUCUGUAACUGACGCUGAGGUGCGAAAGCGUGGGUAGCAAACNGGAUUAGAUACCCUGGUAGUCCCAGCUGUAAAACGNUGGACGCUAGGUGUUGGCAGUAAUGGUCGGUGCCGCAGCAAACGCGAUAACGCGUCCCGCUGGGGANAAGUGGGUAUGAGUACUGC